UGAUCCCCCACACUGGUACUGAGACACGGACCAGACUCCUACGGGAGGCAGCAGUAAGGAAUAUUGGACAAUGGAGGCAACUCUGAUCCAGCCAUGCCGCGUGAAGGAUUAAGGCCCUAUGGGUUGUAAACUUCUUUUAGACGGGACAAAACCCCUUUACGUGUAAAGGGUUGAUGGUACUGUCAGAAUAAGCAUCGGCUAACUUCGUGCCAGCAGCCGCGGUAAUACGAAGGAUGCAAGCGUUAUCCGGAAUUAUUGGGUUUAAAGGGUGCGUAGGCGGACUAAUAAGUCAGUGGUGAAAGCCUGCAGCUUAACUGCAGAAUUGCCGUUGAUACUGUUAGUCUUGAGUACAGUUGAGGUAGGCGGAAUGUGUCAUGUAGCGGUGAAAUGCUUAGAUAUGACACAGAACACCGAUUGCGAAGGCAGCUUGCUAAGCUGUAACUGACGCUGAGGCACGAAAGCGUGGGGAGCAAACAGGAUUAGAUACCCUGGUAGUCCACGCCCUAAACGAUGAUAACUCGCUGUUGGCGAUACACUGUCAGCAGCCAAGCGAAAGCAUUAAGUUAUCCACCUGGGGAGUACGACCGCAAGGUUGAAACUCAAGGAAUUGACGGGGGCCCGCACAGCGGAGGAGCAUGUGGCUUAUUCGAUGAUACGCGAGGAACCUUACCUGGGC
Molecule: ribosomal RNA, 676 nt
Filed under: uncultured bacterium
Lineage: Bacteria
Description: bacterial SSU rRNA
Rfam family: Bacterial small subunit ribosomal RNA
Source: RNAcentral